AUCUUUUUAGUAUAAUAAAUAUAAUUGACUUCCAAUCAAAAGAUCUUUUAAUAAAGAAAAGAUA
This 64-nucleotide transfer RNA is filed under the name Nezara viridula (southern green stink bug). Its description in RNAcentral is "tRNA-Gly". Lineage: Eukaryota; Metazoa; Arthropoda; Insecta; Hemiptera; Pentatomidae. The record is from RNAcentral.